Drosophila novamexicana is the source of this 2682-nucleotide long non-coding RNA. RefSeq lists it as uncharacterized. The transcript has 4 exons. NCBI's taxonomy places the organism in Eukaryota, Metazoa, Arthropoda, Insecta, Diptera, Drosophilidae. The record is from RefSeq and is a predicted model, not a curated record.
UUAAAUAAAAUAAGUAAAUUGGCAUUCAAGCCAUAUUUUUGAUCAAUUGGAAUAUUUGUUUACAACCAAAUCUAAGAAAUUCAUACUUGCGAGAUUGUUGCCAUCCAGCUGUUGUCAGAUAAAUAUAAACAUUCAAGAACUAUUCGCCCCCAAACAACUUUUACGAUAUUAACGCUGCGAUUUUUUUUUUUAUAGAUUUAUAUCUACGAUUUGCCGUAUAGUAUUUUUUUAUUGAAAUAGGAAACUUUGUGCAUAUUGCAUGCAUCAAAUGGUACAACAACAACAACAAGAACAAGGAUAAGAAACUUCUUCACUUGCAACAUUUUGUUGUUGUUGGCCGUUUUUUAUGACAAAGAACGAAAUGAGAUGAAAUUAUUGACGGAAAAAACGGAAAUCGCUGGCAAUAGUCAAAGGAAAUAAAAGCGAAAUUACUUUUGAUAAAGCAACGGCAAGGACUACUACUAAAACUACACACACUCGUAAAAGCGAAGAGAAAACAGCAGGAAGUUAGCUACAAGAGGGCGUUGAUUUGUCACAAGUAGAAUUAUGAGAGUCGGGCUUCCAGGAUGGGCUGAAGCAGCUGCCGGAGACAACAACAAGAAGAAGAAGAAGAAGAGCUGCUGCGAGGGCAACAACAAACACUUCAAUUACCGGAAAACGUGUCUGAUAAUACCUCCCGAGAUUUGAGCCCAGCAAGCAGCAUGGCCAAAAAAGUAUACCCUGUAAGCUGCGGCAGAAUGGAACUCAGUUGUGCCAGCAUCUUUUUUAUGCGCUGCUCUGCUUUCUGUUUGAUGCUCAUAAAAAAAUAGAGGAAAAAACAAAACCCUAACGAAAGGACGCAAAAUGUGCAACAUGCUACUUUGGGAGUGUCCUGCAAUUUUUCAGCAAAAAGCAAAAAAAGGCAAGCAAUAAAUUAGAUGUGCCAUCUUCAAGAUACCUGAGGAGAACUCUCUCUGUCUCUCUCUGGAACAACGCAACAGCCGCAACAUAAACUAAUAAUCAAGUCCUAGGACUCCGAGUAAACACUUGAGCGUGGCCUGCUCUGCCUGCUUACAAGAAUUUUCCAUUUCCGCUCAAAGGCAAUGGACACACACACAGCUGAAGACGCAGUUGCGGCCAAUUCCUGUGCCUAUUACCGACUUGACCAGAGCCGAGGUCUGGGCAUUUGCGGAAAUUGCAAAAUUUCUGCACCGUAAUAAGAUGAAAUUAAGUUUGCACACAAAGCAAAUAACAAGCCUAGCCCGGACAAAUAUCGAUGCUACCCGCCGAUCCCGCUGGAGUCCAUGCGAAGCCAACUCUGUGGGAGGCUCAGCCACGCAGCAAAUGAACCACUAAUUGCGUGCCGAAAUGCAAUUUAGUGAACUUUGGCCCAAACCCAAAAACAAACACAAGACAUCGACAAAUACACAAGCAAACACCGGACAGCGUGUGUGUGUGUGUAGAUGGGUGUGCGGCUGACCAAAUGACCAAAGCGCCUGCCUGCAACAAUUAAAUUGAAAAUUAAGCAAAAGUCUUGAGAAGUGCAAACAGACGUGGCUGCCACAAUUUACAUUGAUAAUGCCCAGGCUGCUGUGGCAACAUGUAUCGGGGCGCAUUCGUUUAAUUAUGCAACCGUUAAAGGCUUUAAUCCUUUCAACCUUUUUUUAUUUUUGUUGCUUAGAUGUGCUGCUAUACCCGUCGAGGCGUUGAGUGUUGACAUUGAUAAAUUACUUGGCAUUUGUUUUAAGCGUGAUUUAUCGCGCCCGUCGCCCGUCGCCUGCCGCCCGGUGACACAUUGACACGUGUCCUUACUUUUUGUCUGAUUUUUAAUUAAAUGCAAACAAAAAUGACCAUUUGAUAAGCCUCGGACCAUACCCAAUGCAUAUGCAUGCAUAUAUGGAGGAGUUCCGUUUUGUGUUCUGUUCAAAACCAUUUGCCAGAGUUUUUAACUCAUAUUUAAAACGCACUCAUUUUCGGGCUCGGUUUGGCAACUGCAACUGCAUUUUUAUAGACUUGACUGCAUUCAUGAAAAUUCAUUGCCUUUGCCCCGUGUGCAAUCGGACUCCAACCAAUUCCCCUUCUCUGCGGCCCUUCAUAGGCCGUUGCACUCUUGUGGCACAACAAUUUUCAACUUAAUGAUGUUGCCAAAUGCAUUGGCAAAUAUGUUUCGCAUGUUUCGCACACACAGCUUCAGAAAUCAAGAAUUAAAUGCAUUCUCCAUUCAAUGAAUAUGAAAUGCUCUUCAUAUGACACACAACUUUACGUUGUAGGAAUUCAUUAAAUUGGGCAGUACUACGGAAUACGAGAGCUCAAACCAGCUGAGAGUUAAGAAUUGAUUGUAAACAUGAAUUAUAACUAUCCUAUAGAGUGAAAUAUCUCCGAUCCUAUAAGGUAUAUAUAUAUGAUUGAUAACUAUGAAUGUUCUGUCUGUCGGUUUCUAUACAAACUCAGUUCGUCAGGUUCGUCUUUCGGCUGCAGGCAAAGGUCUAAAUGAUAAUAAAUUGAAGCAAAUCGUGUCGUGCUUAUCACGAGUCACGAAAAAAUCACGACUCUAGCCAACAUACAAAUUACUUUUUACACCGUUUUGAGGCUUUUUCUAUUCGAAUCUGGCUGUUGGCUUAUUAACUUGGCUAAAUGCAGGCAUUAAAUAUUAACCCCGACAAUUGAUCAACAACUAUCUAAAUUGUGCAGUUUAUUCGGACA